UUAAAUUGAAGAGUUUGAUCAUGGCUCAGAUUGAACGCUGGCGGCAGGCCUAACACAUGCAAGUCGAACGGUAACAGGAAACAGCUUGCUGUUUCGCUGACGAGUGGCGGACGGGUGAGUAAUGUCUGGGAAACUGCCUGAUGGAGGGGGAUAACUACUGGAAACGGUAGCUAAUACCGCAUAACGUCGCAAGACCAAAGAGGGGGACCUUCGGGCCUC
This 219-nucleotide ribosomal RNA is filed under the name Escherichia coli. RNAcentral's name for it is "partial 16S ribosomal RNA". It matches the Rfam family "Bacterial small subunit ribosomal RNA", at positions 1 to 216 of the family's 1533-position model. Lineage: Bacteria; Pseudomonadati; Pseudomonadota; Gammaproteobacteria; Enterobacterales; Enterobacteriaceae. The record is from RNAcentral.